GAUGAACGCUGGCGGCGUGCCUAAUACAUGCAAGUCGAGCGAACAGACGAGGAGCUUGCUCCUCUGACGUUAGCGGCGGACGGGUGAGUAACACGUGGAUAACCUACCUAUAAGACUGGGAUAACUUCGGGAAACCGGAGCUAAUACCGGAUAAUAUAUUGAACCGCAUGGUUCAAUAGUGAAAGACGGUUUUGCUGUCACUUAUAGAUGGAUCCGCGCCGCAUUAGCUAGUUGGUAAGGUAACGGCUUACCAAGGCAACGAUGCGUAGCCGACCUGAGAGGGUGAUCGGCCACACUGGAACUGAGACACGGUCCAGACUCCUACGGGAGGCAGCAGUAGGGAAUCUUCCGCAAUGGGCGAAAGCCUGACGGAGCAACGCCGCGUGAGUGAUGAAGGUCUUCGGAUCGUAAAACUCUGUUAUUAGUGAAGAACAAAUGUGUAAGUAACUAUGCACGUCUUGACGGUACCUAAUCAGAAAGCCACGGCUAACCACGUG
This 497-nucleotide ribosomal RNA is filed under the name uncultured bacterium. RNAcentral describes it as "partial 16S ribosomal RNA". It matches the Rfam family "Bacterial small subunit ribosomal RNA", at positions 28 to 507 of the family's 1533-position model. The record is from RNAcentral.